RNAcentral lists this ribosomal RNA (371 nucleotides) under Herbaspirillum sp. RNAcentral describes it as "bacterial SSU rRNA". It matches the Rfam family "Bacterial small subunit ribosomal RNA", at positions 1 to 374 of the family's 1533-position model. Lineage: Bacteria; Pseudomonadati; Pseudomonadota; Betaproteobacteria; Burkholderiales; Oxalobacteraceae. The record is from RNAcentral.
GAACUGAAGAGUUUGAUCAUGGCUCAGAUUGAACGCUGGCGGCAGGCCUAACACAUGCAAGUCGAGCGGAUGAAGAGAGCUUGCUCUCUGAUUCAGCGGCGGACGGGUGAGUAAUGCCUAGGAAUCUGCCUGAUAGUGGGGGACAACGUUUCGAAAGGAACGCUAAUACCGCAUACGUCCUACGGGAGAAAGCAGGGGACCUUCGGGCCUUGCGCUAUCAGAUGAGCCUAGGUCGGAUUAGCUAGUUGGUGAGGUAACGGCUCACCAAGGCGACGAUCCGUAACUGGUCUGAGAGGAUGAUCAGUCACACUGGAACUGAGACACGGUCCAGACUCCUACGGGAGGCAGCAGUGGGGAAUAUUGGACAAUGG